RNAcentral lists this small RNA (925 nucleotides) under uncultured Peziza. Its description in RNAcentral is "eukaryotic LSU rRNA". The stretch from base 640 to 925 matches the Rfam family "Eukaryotic large subunit ribosomal RNA", at positions 1 to 281 of the family's 3401-position model. The record is from RNAcentral. Lineage: Eukaryota; Fungi; Ascomycota; Pezizomycetes; Pezizales; Pezizaceae.
CUUGGUCAUUUAGAGGAAGUAAAAGUCGUAACAMGGUUUCCGUAGGUGAACCUGCGGAAGGAUCAUUAAUGAAAAGUUCUUCUGAACCAAUCAUCACUCCAUUGUUUACCCACCCCUAUUGUUGCUUCCACUGGACAGGUCGACCCGUUAAAAGGUAGACCCUCUGGCGCACAACACUGAACCGGCCUUAAAAACGUCGACUUGGUUGUUGUAUGCUGGGGAGCGCCGGUGGGCAACCCACUUUAAAAAAAUACUUAAAUAUGAUAGAGCUGUCUGAACCAAUUUUUUAUAAAAACCUUAUAAAACUUUCAACAACGGAUCUCUAGGCUCUUGCAUCGAUGAAGAACGCAGUGAAAUGCGAUACGUAAUGUGAAUUGCAGAAUCUCGUGAAUCAUUGAAUCUUUGAACGCACAUUGCGCCCUAUGGUAUUCCAUAGGGCAUGCCUGUCUGAGCGUCAGCUCCCCCCCACUCAAGCUCUUUUGCUUGGAUUAUUUUGGACGAGCAGUCUCUUUUGAUUGCUGCCUAUAAAUUCAUAGGCAGUAUGGUACUCACUCCAAGCUGAGCGUAAUAAUUAAAAAAAUCACGCCCAUAUUGAAGUGACAUCGUACUCGCCCUUAACCCACAAAUUUUUUUUUUGGGUGACCUCAGAUCAGGUAGGGAUACCCGCUGAACUUAAGCAUAUCAAUAAGCGGAGGAAAAGAAACCAACAGGGAUUGCCUCAGUAACGGCGAGUGAAGCGGCAAAAGCUCAGAUUUGGAAUCUGGCGUCAUAUUGGCGUCCGAGUUGUAAUCUGUAGAAGAGUAUUCGAGUGUGGCGCUGGCUUAAGUUCCUUGGAACAGAACGUCAUAGAGAGUGAGAACCCCGUUAACGGCCUUUGUCUUAUGCUCAUGUGAAUCUCCUUCAACGAGUCGAGUUGUUUGGGAAU